AAUCCGGUUGAUCCUGCCGGAGGCUACCGCUAUUGGAGUUCGAUUAAGCCAUGCGAGUCGAGAGUCUUAGGGACUCGGCGUACCGCUCAGUAACACGUGGGUAACCUGCCCUAUGCUGGGGAAUAACCUCGGGAAACUGAGAAUAAUGCCCCAUAGUCCACAAUGCCUGGAACGGUUUGUGGAUUAAAGCCCCGGCGGCAUAGGAUGGGCCUGCGGCGUAUCAGGUUGUAGGGGGUGUAACGUACCCUCUAGCCAUCAACGCGUACGGGUGUUGGGAGACAUAGCCCGGAGAUGGAUUCUGAGACACGAAUCCAGACCCUACGGGGUGCAGCAGGCGCGAAAACUUGGCAAUGCGAG
Molecule: ribosomal RNA, 357 nt
Filed under: Candidatus Thalassarchaeaceae archaeon
Lineage: Archaea; Methanobacteriati; Thermoplasmatota; Candidatus Poseidoniia; Candidatus Poseidoniales; Candidatus Thalassarchaeaceae
Description: bacterial SSU rRNA
Rfam family: Archaeal small subunit ribosomal RNA
Source: RNAcentral